GACCCUGUAGUGAAGUUCAUGGUGAGUUGCAAGCUCAUUGAUAUGUGUUUAGAUGCACAUCGGGGUCU
RNAcentral lists this transfer RNA (68 nucleotides) under Psephotellus pulcherrimus (paradise parrot). RNAcentral's name for it is "tRNA-Cys". Lineage: Eukaryota; Metazoa; Chordata; Aves; Psittaciformes; Psittaculidae. The record is from RNAcentral.